Molecule: ribosomal RNA, 500 nt
Filed under: uncultured bacterium
Lineage: Bacteria
Description: partial 16S ribosomal RNA
Rfam family: Bacterial small subunit ribosomal RNA
Source: RNAcentral
AUUGAACGCUGGCGGCAUGCCUUACACAUGCAAGUCGAACGGCAGCACGGGAGCAAUCCUGGUGGCGAGUGGCGAACGGGUGAGUAAUGUAUCGGAACGGGCCCAGUCGUGGGGGAUAACGCAGCGAAAGCUGUGCUAAUACCGCAUACGAUCCAUGGAUGAAAGCGGGGGAUAGCAAGACCUCGAGCGAUUGGAGCGGCCGAUAUAAGAUUAGCUAGUUGGUGGGGUAAAAGCUUACCAAGGCGACGAUCUGUAGCUGGUCGGAGAGGACGACCAGCCACACUGGAACUGAGGCACGGUCCAGACUCCUACGGGAGGCAGCAGUGGGGAAUUUUGGACAAUGGGCGCAAGCCUGAUCCAGCAAUGCCGCGUGCAGGAUGAAGGCCUUCGGGUUGUAAACUGCUUUUGUACGGAGCGAAAAGGCUCUCUCUAAUACGGGGGGCUCAUGACGGUACCGUAAGAAUAAGCACCGGCUAACUACGUGCCAGCAGCCGCCGUAA